UCGACGACUCUGGUAUUGAUUGGUGCUUGCAUCAUGAUUUACAUUUGAGUGAGUGGCGAACUGGUGAGUAACACGUGGGAAACCUGCCCAGAAGCGGGGGAUAACACCUGGAAACAGAUGCUAAUACCGCAUAACAACUUGGACCGCAUGGUCCGAGUUUGAAAGAUGGCUUCGGCUAUCACUUUUGGAUGGUCCCGCGGCGUAUUAGCUAGAUGGUGGGGUAACGGCUCACCAUGGCAAUGAUACGUAGCCGACCUGAGAGGGUAAUCGGCCACAUUGGGACUGAGACACGGCCCAAACUCCUACGGGAGGCAGCAGUAGGGAAUCUUCCACAAUGGACGAAAGUCUGAUGGAGCAACGCCGCGUGAGUGAAGAAGGGUUUCGGCUCGUAAAACUCUGUUGUUAAAGAAGAACAUAUCUGAGAGUAACUGUUCAGGUAUUGACGGUAUUUAACCAGAAAGCCACGGCUAACUACGUGCCAGCAGCCGCGGUAAUACGUAGGUGGCAAGCGUUGUCCGGAUUUAUUGGGCGUAAAGCGAGCGCAGGCGGUUUUUUAAGUCUGAUGUGAAAGCCUUCGGCUCAACCGAAGAAGUGCAUCGGAAACUGGGAAACUUGAGUGCAGAAGAGGACAGUGGAACUCCAUGUGUAGCGGUGAAAUGCGUAGAUAU
Molecule: ribosomal RNA, 668 nt
Filed under: Lactiplantibacillus pentosus
Lineage: Bacteria; Bacillati; Bacillota; Bacilli; Lactobacillales; Lactobacillaceae
Description: bacterial SSU rRNA
Rfam family: Bacterial small subunit ribosomal RNA
Source: RNAcentral